GGCUUCCUGGGGGUUGACCCGCGCACGAGGUCCUCACCGCCCGAGGUCCGCGCGGCGCUGCGUGUUUGGCGUCCCGCGGCGGCCGGGGCCUCCAUGGACCGUCCAGCGCCCCCUCAUGCGUCUCCCCCUUUCUGCUCGCGCUCACCCUAAACCCCGCAGCGCUCACCUGCGUCCUCGCACCGGCCGGGUGCCGGUGCGGCCCGAGCCGCUCUCGAGGGGUCGAAUUCCGGGUCUGCAGGAGGCGGGUCUUCUUCGAACUCUAUGUCCCGGUGUCCUCAUCAAAAGGGGAAAUCUGGACACAGAGACAGGCACACACAGAAGAAAGAAGAUGUGAAGACACAGAAAUCACCAUGUGAAGAUGGAGGCAGAGAUCAGAGGGAUGUAUCUACAAGCCCAGGAACACCAGAGAUCUCCAGCAACCCCCAAAGCUGAGAGAGAGGCCUGAAGAGAUUCUCCCUCAGGACCAGCCUUGCUGACACCUUGAUCUUGGACUUCUAGCCUCUAGAACUGUGAGACAAUAAAUGUCUGUUGUUUAAGUCC
This is a long non-coding RNA of Aethalodelphis obliquidens (Pacific white-sided dolphin), 540 nucleotides long. RefSeq lists it as uncharacterized. The transcript is spliced from 2 exons. NCBI's taxonomy places the organism in Eukaryota, Metazoa, Chordata, Mammalia, Artiodactyla, Delphinidae. The record is from RefSeq and is a predicted model, not a curated record.